Molecule: unclassified non-coding RNA, 331 nt
Filed under: soil metagenome
Description: partial contains 5.8S ribosomal RNA, internal transcribed spacer 2, and large subunit ribosomal RNA
Rfam family: 5.8S ribosomal RNA (bases 1-120)
Source: RNAcentral
GAUGAAGAACGCAGCGAAAUGCGAUAGCUAGUGUGAAUUGCAGAUUUCAGUGAAUCAUCGAAUCUUUGAACGCACAUUGCGCCCCCUGGUAUUCCGGGGGGCAUGCCUGUUCGAGCGUCAUUUCACCACUCAAGCCUCGCUUGGUAUUGGGCAACGCGGUCCGCCGCGUGCCUCAAAUCGACCGGCUGGGUCUUCUGUCCCCUAAGCGUUGUGGAAACUAUUCGCUAAAGGGUGUUCGGGAGGCUACGCCGUAAAACAACCCCAUUUCUAAGGUUGACCUCGGAUCAGGUAGGGAUACCCGCUGAACUUAAGCAUAUCAAUAAGCGGAGGA